Molecule: small nucleolar RNA, 103 nt
Organism: Haliotis rubra (blacklip abalone)
Lineage: Eukaryota; Metazoa; Mollusca; Gastropoda; Lepetellida; Haliotidae
Product: Z30 small nucleolar RNA
Exons: 1
Source: RefSeq, a predicted model, not a curated record
CUGCAGUGAUGAUGUAGACUGUUGUGACUUGGUAUUGUCUAGCUGUGCUCAUACACCAUGACUCUGACCAAGGCAGGAUCACAUGAAUCUUCUCUCUGAGCAG